CUAAAUAUUGAUUGAUCAAACUUCUGUGAGGAUAUAUCGGACAUCAAGUCAUAUGAUGAAUGAGUCUCCUGUGUCUCCUCAAGCUAUUGUUGAUCAGCUGGAACGUUAUUUGGAAUAUUUUUUUCUACCCAUUACCCUGGAUCCACCCUGAUCUCCCUAGCUACCACACUGGCUGGUCGUGGAGGAGACCCCGACUCAUCAAGCUCUAGCUUCUGCUGCUG
Molecule: long non-coding RNA, 221 nt
Filed under: Elaeis guineensis (African oil palm)
Lineage: Eukaryota; Viridiplantae; Streptophyta; Magnoliopsida; Arecales; Arecaceae
Description: long non-coding RNA (EGUI_LNC047052)
Source: RNAcentral